UCCUACGGGAGGCAGCAGUAGGGAAUCUUCCGCAAUGGACGAAAGUCUGACGGAGCAACGCCGCGUGAGUGAUGAAGGCUUUCGGGUCGUAAAACUCUGUUGUUAGGGAAGAACAAGUGCUAGUUGAAUAAGCUGGCACCUUGACGGUACCUAACCAGAAAGCCACGGCUAACUACGUGCCAGCAGCCGCGGUAAUACGUAGGUGGCAAGCGUUAUCCGGAAUUAUUGGGCGUAAAGCGCGCGCAGGUGGUUUCUUAAGUCUGAUGUGAAAGCCCACGGCUCAACCGUGGAGGGUCAUUGGAAACUGGGAGACUUGAGUGCAGAAGAGGAAAGUGGAAUUCCAUGUGUAGCGGUGAAAUGCGUAGAGAUAUGGAGGAACACCAGUGGCGAAGGCGACUUUCUGGUCUGUAACUGACACUGAGGCGCGAAAGCGUGGGGAGCGAACAGGAUUAGAUACCCUGGUAGUCCACGCCGUAAACGAUGAGUGCUAAGUGUUAGGGGGUUUCCGCCCCUUAGUGCUGCAGCUAACGCAUUAAGCACUCCGCCUGGGGAGUACGGUCGCAAGACUGAAACUCAAAUGAA
RNAcentral lists this ribosomal RNA (582 nucleotides) under uncultured bacterium. RNAcentral describes it as "bacterial SSU rRNA". It matches the Rfam family "Bacterial small subunit ribosomal RNA", at positions 337 to 909 of the family's 1533-position model. The record is from RNAcentral.